This 467-nucleotide ribosomal RNA is filed under the name uncultured bacterium. RNAcentral describes it as "partial 16S ribosomal RNA". It matches the Rfam family "Bacterial small subunit ribosomal RNA", at positions 28 to 507 of the family's 1533-position model. The record is from RNAcentral.
GAUGAACGCUGGCGGCGUGCUUAACACAUGCAAGUCGAACGGAAAGGCCCAAGCUUGCUUGGGUACUCGAGUGGCGAACGGGUGAGUAACACGUGGGUGAUCUGCCCUGCACUUCGGGAUAAGCCUGGGAAACUGGGUCUAAUACUGGAUAGGACCACUUCUUGGAUGUUGUGGUGGAAAGUUUUUUCGGUGUGGGAUGAGCUCGCGGCCUAUCAGCUUGUUGGUGGGGUAAUGGCCUACCAAGGCGUCGACGGGUAGCCGGCCUGAGAGGGUGUACGGCCACAUUGGGACUGAGAUACGGCCCAGACUCCUACGGGAGGCAGCAGUGGGGAAUAUUGAACAAUGGGCGCAAGCCUGAUGCAGCGACGCCGCGUGGGGGAUGACGGCCUUCGGGUUGUAAACUCCUUUCGCUAGGGACGAAGCGUUUUGUGACGGUACCUGGAGAAGAAGCACCGGCUAACUACGUG